Molecule: ribosomal RNA, 440 nt
Filed under: uncultured bacterium
Lineage: Bacteria
Description: partial 16S ribosomal RNA
Rfam family: Bacterial small subunit ribosomal RNA
Source: RNAcentral
CCUACGGGAGGCAGCAGUGGGGAAUAUUGCACAAUGGGGGGAACCCUGAUGCAGCGACGCCGCGUGGGUGAGGAAGUACUUCGGUAUGUAAAGCCCUAUCAGCAGGGAAGAAAAUGAGGGUACCUAACUAAGAAGGCCUGGCCAACAACGUGCCAGCAGCCGCGGUAAAACGUGGGGGGCGAGCGUGAUCCGGAUGUACUGGGUGUAAAGGGAGCGUAGACGGCGUGCCAAGACUGGUGUGAAAGGCCGGGGCUCAACCCCGGGAGUGCAUUGGAAACUGGCAUGCUGGAGUGCCGGAGGGGCAAGCGGAAUUCCAGGUGUAGCGGUGAAAUGCGUAGAUAUUAGGAGGAACACCAGUGGCGAAGGCGGCUUGCUGGACUGUAACUGACGUUGAGGCUCGAAAGCGUGGGGAGCAAACAGGAUUAGAUACCCGUGUAGUC